GCUUUCGUGCUGUAGUGGUCAGCAUACUCGGCGCGCAAUCGAGAGGUCCCUGGUUCGAGUCCCGGCGAGGGCA
Molecule: non-coding RNA, 73 nt
Organism: Stegodyphus dumicola
Lineage: Eukaryota; Metazoa; Arthropoda; Arachnida; Araneae; Eresidae
Source: the annotation of a RefSeq genome assembly